GCGCCCAGCCCGCGCCCCUCGGCGGCCCCCGCGUGGGGCGGCCCACCCCCAACCCCUGUUCGCCAAGGCCACCCACUCGGGGUGGCCCGCCGACGGCUCCAGGGGGGAGCGAAUGAACGCAGCCCCCCACUACCACAAAUUAUGCUGUGGAGUUUCCCACAUUUGGGGAAAUCGCAGGGGUCAGCACAUGCAGAGUGCAAUGGAUAAGCAUCACCCUGGGAAAACCACUUUCGUGAUCCAUGUAUCUCCCCUGCCAGUUCAUAUGCCACAUAAAUCAAGACUCAGCGUCGUGUGAGGACUGAAAGCCGCCCCGUCAUGACGCCCAGAGUUCUUCGCUGUCUCAGAUGCUCUCUCGCUCAGAGCCCAGCAAGUCUCAGCAGGGAGGCGCCAGUGACCGAGUACGUUCAUGUGUUCUCACAGCAGGCCUGGCAUCUGUGCCAGGGGUUGGGGAAAAACGUGAUGUUGCCAUUUGGGCAGAACCUGUCUUUCUGACUAAGAAAUCUGGCAGCAGAUACGCCAGCAGGACCAAGUUCUGUAAUGUCGUCCCAGCUUGGCAGGCUCCUUGUGCCUUGGGGUUCCUGGACCAGAAUGUGAGGUGCUGGCCCUGGCUGGGUGGCUCAGUUAGUUGGAGCAUCCUCCCGCGAUGCCAAGGUUUUGGGUUCGAUCGCUGGUCAGGGAACAUACAAGAAUCAACCAAUGAGUGCAUAAAUAAGUGGAACAACAAGCUUCUCUUUCUCUCUAAAAUCAACAAAUAGCCCAGCCGGCGUGGCUCAGUGGUUGAGUGUUGACCCAAGAACCAAGAGGUCACUGGUUUGAUUUCAGGUCAGGACACAUGCCCAGGUUGCAGAUCCCCAGUGGAAGGCUUGUAGGAGGCAGCCCAUGAAACUCAUCGAAGUUUCUGUCUCUCUAUCCCUCUCCCUUCCUCUCUCUCUCUCAAAAUCAAUAAAAACAUAGAAGAAUAAAAUCAAUAAAAAUCAAAACAAGCCCUGACUGGUUUGGCUCAGGGGCCAGAGCGUCGGCCUGCGGACUCAAGGGUCCCAGGUUCGAUUCCGGUCAAGGGCAUGUACCUUGGUUGCAGACACAUCCCCAGUGGGAGGUGUGCAGGAGGCAGCUGAUCAAUGUUUCUCUCUCACCGAUGUUUCUAACUCUCUCUCCCUUUCCUCUCUGUAAAAUUCAAUAAAAUAUAUUUUUUUUAAAAAAUCAAAACAAAAACAACAAUGUGAGGUGCUGUGGGCUGGCACAGGUUUAGCAGCUGCUGAGGACAGA
Eptesicus fuscus (big brown bat) is the source of this 1266-nucleotide long non-coding RNA. RefSeq lists it as uncharacterized. The record is from RefSeq and is a predicted model, not a curated record. Lineage: Eukaryota; Metazoa; Chordata; Mammalia; Chiroptera; Vespertilionidae. The transcript is spliced from 3 exons.